AACGAACGCUGGCGGCAUGCCUAAUACAUGCAAGUCGAACGAGAAAGCUCCUUCGGGAGUGAGUAGAGUGGCGCACGGGUGAGUAACACGUAGGUGACAUACCUUUCAGCUGGGGACAACAGAAAGAAAUUUCUGCUAAUACCGAAUAAGCUGAGCGAAUUUGAAAGUAGCUCAGGAAAGACGGCCUCUAUACUAUGCUAUCACUGAAAGAAUGGCCUGCGUUCCAUUAGCUUGUUGGUGAGGUAACGGCUUACCAAGGCGACGAUGGAUAGCUGGUCUGAGAGGAUGAUCAGUCACACUGGAACUGAGACACGGUCCAGACUCCUACGGGAGGCAGCAGUAAGGAAUAUUGCGCAAUGGGGGAAACCCUGACGCAGCAAUGCCGCGUGAGUGAGGAAGGCCUUCGGGUUGUAAAGCUCUUUCAGUAAGGAAGAACGGUCUAGUGGUUAAUACCCGCUAGAUUUGACGGUACUUACAGAAGAAGCACCGGCUAACUUCGUGCCAGCAGCCGCGGUAAUACGAAGGGUGCAAGCGUUGUUCGGAUUUAUUGGGCGUAAAGCGCGUGUAGGCGGAAGAUUAAGUCAGAUGUGAAAUCUCUCGGCUCAACCGAGAAAUUGCGUCUGAAACUGGUUUUCUAGAAUCCUGGAGAGGGAAGGGGAAUUUCAUGUGUAGGGGUAAAAUCCGUAGAGAUAUGAAGGAACACCAGAGGCGAAGGCGCCUUCCUGGACAGGUAUUGACGCUGAGACGCGAAGGCGUGGGGAGCAAACAGGAUUAGAUACCCUGGUAGUCCACGCGGUAAACGAUGAGCACUAGUUUUGGCGGGUAUUGACCCCUGCCGAAACGUAGCUAACGCAUUAAGUGCUCCGCCUGGGGAGUACGGUCGCAAGAUUAAAACUCAAAGGAAUUGACGG
RNAcentral lists this ribosomal RNA (911 nucleotides) under uncultured delta proteobacterium. RNAcentral describes it as "bacterial SSU rRNA". It matches the Rfam family "Bacterial small subunit ribosomal RNA", at positions 28 to 916 of the family's 1533-position model. The record is from RNAcentral. Lineage: Bacteria; Deltaproteobacteria.